CAGCCGCCGCGGUAAUACGAAGGGUGCAAGCGUUAAUCGGAAUUACUGGGCGUAAAGCGUGCGUAGGUGGUGGUUUAAGUCCGUUGUGAAAGCCCUGGGCUCAACCUGGGAAUUGCAGUGGAUACUGGGUCACUAGAGCGUGGUAGAGGAUAGUGGAAUUUCCGGUGUAGCAGUGAAAUGCGUAGAGAUCGGAAGGAACAUCUGUGGCGAAGGCGACUAUCUGGGCCAACACUGACACUGAGGCACGAAAGCGUGGGGAGCAAACAGGAUUAGAUACCCGAGUAGUCCCUGUCUCUUAUAC
RNAcentral lists this ribosomal RNA (301 nucleotides) under uncultured bacterium. RNAcentral describes it as "partial 16S ribosomal RNA". It matches the Rfam family "Bacterial small subunit ribosomal RNA", at positions 509 to 807 of the family's 1533-position model. The record is from RNAcentral.